This 339-nucleotide ribosomal RNA is filed under the name uncultured Pseudomonadota bacterium. Its description in RNAcentral is "bacterial SSU rRNA". It matches the Rfam family "Bacterial small subunit ribosomal RNA", at positions 29 to 351 of the family's 1533-position model. The record is from RNAcentral. Lineage: Bacteria; Pseudomonadati; Pseudomonadota.
AACGAACGCUGGCGGCGUGCCUAACACAUGCAAGUCGAGCGCGAAAGUCCCUUCGGGGGCAAGUAGAGCGGCGGACGGGUGAGUAAUACGUGGAUAAUCUUCCCUCGAGCUUGGGAUAACCCCGCGAAAGUGGGGCUAAUACCGGAUAAGACCACGCGACUUAAGUUACGUGGUAGAAGGUGGCUUGUAUUUAUACUGGCUAUCACUUGAGGAUGAGCCUAUGGCCUAUCAGCUUGUUGGCGGGGUAAAAGCCCACCAAGGCUAUGACGGGUAGUUGGUCUGAGAGGACGACCAACCACACUGGGACUGAGACACGGCCCAGACUCCUACGGGUGGCAG